GGUGUCAUAGCUCAGUUGGUAGAGCAAAGGACUGAAAAUCCUUGUGUCCCCGGUUCGAUUCCUGGUGGCACCAC
This 74-nucleotide transfer RNA is filed under the name Bacteroides finegoldii. Its description in RNAcentral is "tRNA-Phe". It matches the Rfam family "tRNA". From Rfam's summary of the family: Transfer RNA (tRNA) molecules are approximately 80 nucleotides in length. Their secondary structure includes four short double-helical elements and three loops (D, anti-codon, and T loops). Further hydrogen bonds mediate the characteristic L-shaped molecular structure. tRNAs have two regions of fundamental functional importance: the anti-codon, which is responsible for specific mRNA codon recognition, and the 3' end, to which the tRNAs corresponding amino acid is attached (by aminoacyl-tRNA synthetases). tRNAs cope with the degeneracy of the genetic code in two manners: having more than one tRNA (with a specific anti-codon) for a particular amino acid; and 'wobble' base-pairing, i.e. permitting non-standard base-pairing at the 3rd anti-codon position. Lineage: Bacteria; Pseudomonadati; Bacteroidota; Bacteroidia; Bacteroidales; Bacteroidaceae. The record is from RNAcentral.